This is a non-coding RNA of Emiliania huxleyi CCMP1516, 72 nucleotides long. The record is from Rfam. Lineage: Eukaryota; Haptophyta; Isochrysidales; Noelaerhabdaceae.
GCCUCGUUAGCUUAGUGGCAGAGCGUAGCACUUGUAAUGCUAAGGUCGGGGGUUCGAUCCCCUCACGAGGCU